CGUGAAAUCGGGUGUGAAUCCGCGGAGACCACUCCGCAAGCCUAAAUACAACCACGACCGAUAGUGAACAAGUACCGUGAGGGAAAGGUGGGAAGCACCCCGACGAGGGGAGUAGCAGUACCUGAAACCGUGCGCUUACAAGCAGUCGGAGGACUAUGUCGCAAGACAGUCUGACGGCGUGCCUCUUGGAGAAUGAGUCGGCGACUUACCGUUUGUCGCAAGGUUAAGGCAGUUACAGCCGGAGCCGUAGGGAAACCGAGUCUGAUAAGGGCGACAACAGUGGCAGGCGGUAGACCCGAAACGAGGUGAGCUACCCAUGACCAGAGUGAAGCGAGAGUAACAUCUCGUGGAGGCUCGAACCCAUUAGUGCUGCAAAACUAUGGGAUGAGUUGUGGGUAGAGGUGAUAUGCCAAUCGAACUUCGAGAUAGCUGGUUCUCCCCGAAAUAACUUUAGGGUUAGCCUCGAUUGUUUAGUGACAGAGGUAAAGCACUGAAUGGGCUAGGGGGCGUAAGCCUACCAAACCCAAUCAAACUCUGAAUGCUGUCACUCCAAGAUCGGGAGUCGGGCUACGAGUUAUGAGAUCCGUGGCCGAGAGGGUAACAACCCAGACCGACAUCUAAGGUCCUCAAGUGUGUGCUAAGUGGGAAACGAUGUGAAAUUGUUCAGACAGCGAGGAGGUUGGCUUAGAAGCAGCCAUCCUUUAAACAGUGCGUAAUAGCUGACUCGUCGAACGAUUUUGCGCGGAAAAUUCAACGGGGCUAAGCACGCCACCGAAGAUACGGAAUCGAGAGAUUAGUAGGGGAGCGUUCCAGGAACAGCGAAGCCAUACCGCAAGGAGUGGUGGAGUGACUGGAAGUGAGAAUGCCGACACGAGUAGCGUAAAUUGCGUGAGAACCGCAAUCGCCGUAUGCCUAAGGUUUCCGAUGCAAGGUCAAUCCGCAUCGGGUUAGUCGGGCCUAAGCCGAGGCAGAAAUGCGUAGGUGAUGGACAAUCGGUCAACAUUCCGAUACCAGGGCAGGAGAGCUAGGAAGGGACGCAGAAUGGUAGCUGAGCCGGACCAAUGGUAAUGCCGGUCGAAGCGCGUAGGGAAAUGACGAGGGUAGGCAAGUCCGCUCUUUGAUCCUGAAACGUAAGCGAGGUCCCCAAGCCGAAGUCAGCAAGCCAAUCUGCCGAGAAAAACUUCUAUGCGUUGAACCUGUUCUGCCCGUACCGCAAACCGACACUGGUAGGCGAGGAGAGUAUCCUCAGGCGAACGAGAGAACCUUCGUUAAGGAAUUAGGCAACAUGUACCCGUAACUUAGGGAGAAGGGUAGCCCGCGGUGAUGUUGUCAUACGAUGAUGUCAUUGUGGGUCGCAGAUGAGAGGCUCUAGCGACUGGUUAACUAAACCACAGGUCUCUGCGAAGCCGUAAGGCGACGUAUAGGGGCUGACACUUGCCCAGUGCUGGAAGGUUAAAGGGAGAGGUUAGCGCAAGCGAAGCUUUGAACUGAAGCCCCAGUGAACGGCGGCGGUAACUAUAACCGUCGUAACUAUAACCGUCCUAAGGUAGCGAAAUUCCUUGUCAGGUAAGUUCUGACCCGCACGAAUAGUGUAACGACUGGAGCACUGUCUCAACGAGGGACUCGGCGAAACUGAAUUAAUGGUGAAGAUGCCAUUUACCCGCGCCCGGACAAAAAGACCCCGUGGAGCUUUACUGUACCUUGGCAUUGCGCUAGGGCUUUGACUGUGUAGCAUAGGUGGGAGGCUUAGAAGCUGGUGCGCUAGCAUCGGUGGAGCCGUCAGUGAAAUACCACCCUGUUGGAGUUUUGGCCCUAACCGUACUCCGUAAUCCGGAGACGAGACAGUGCCAGGCGGGCAGUUUGACUGGGGCGGUCGCCUCCUAAAAUGUAACGGAGGCGCCCAAAGUUUCCCUCAGGCUGAAUGGAAACCAGCCGUUGAGUGUAAAGGCACAAGGGAGAUUGACUGCAAGACCUACAAGUCGAGCAGAGACGAAAGUCGGGCUUAGUGAUCCUACUGAUCUUGGUGGAAAGGCAGUAGCUUAACGGAUAAAAGCUACCCCGGGGAUAACAGGCUAGUGAGGCCCAAGCGUCCAUAGCGACGGCCUCGCUCGGCACCUCGAUGUCGGCUCGGCGCAUCCUGGGGCUGGAUAAGGUCCCAAGGGUUGGCCUGUUCGGCCAUUAAAGCGUUACGUGAGCUGGGUUCAAACCGUCGUGAGACAGGUUGGUCUCUAUCCGGCGUGGGCGCAGGGGAUUUGAGAGGAGCUGUUCUUAGUACGAGAGGACCGGAAUGGACGUACCUCUGGUGUGCCAGUUGUUCCGCCAGGAGCAUCGCUGGGUAGCCACGUACGGCAAAGAUAACCGCUGAAAGCAUCUAAGUGGGAAACUUGCCUCAAGAUGAGAUCCCCCCGAAGACCGCCAGUAGACUACUGGUUUGAUAGGCGACAGGUGUAAGGCCGGCAACGGUUUUAGCUAAGUCGUACUAACGGUCGUUUGGCUUAAACAU
Molecule: ribosomal RNA, 2503 nt
Filed under: wastewater metagenome
Description: bacterial LSU rRNA
Rfam family: Bacterial large subunit ribosomal RNA
Source: RNAcentral